GUGUGAAGACUAUCCGCUGGAGAGGUCCAAUUGCAUGAGGAAUCCGACAGAGGGUCGACCGAUAGUAGAAUUCAAAAGGCAUUAUAAAAGGUUGACCGAUAGAAGAGUCCGGAAGGUGUUGUGGAAGUUCAUCCGCUGGAGGAGUCUGGAGGGAAUUUAUCCGUUGGAGGGGUCUGGUUGACACUGUUGAAGUCUGGUUGGCAUUGUUGAAGGUUGAUGGCUAGAGAGG
Molecule: long non-coding RNA, 229 nt
Filed under: Elaeis guineensis (African oil palm)
Lineage: Eukaryota; Viridiplantae; Streptophyta; Magnoliopsida; Arecales; Arecaceae
Description: long non-coding RNA (EGUI_LNC073689)
Source: RNAcentral